UACGGAGGGGGCUAGCGUUGUUCGGAAUUACUGGGCGUAAAGCGCGCGUAGGCGGCUUUGUAAGUUAGAGGUGAAAGCCUGGAGCUCAACUCCGGAACUGCCUUUAAGACUGCAUCGCUAGAACGAUGGAGAGGUAAGUGGAAUUCCGAGUGUAGAGGUGAGAUUCGUAGAUAUCGGGAGGAACACCAGUGGCGAAGGCGACUUCCUGGCCUGUUCUUGACGCUGAGGCGCGAAAGCUAGGGGAGCAAACGGG
This 253-nucleotide ribosomal RNA is filed under the name uncultured bacterium. Its description in RNAcentral is "partial 16S ribosomal RNA". It matches the Rfam family "Bacterial small subunit ribosomal RNA", at positions 524 to 776 of the family's 1533-position model. The record is from RNAcentral.